GGGCCCGCACAAGCAGCGGAGCGUGUGGUUUAAUUCGAUGUUACACGAAGAACCUUACCAGGUUUGACAUGCAAGUGGUAGGAAACCGAAAGGUGACCGACCCUUCGGGGAGCUUGCACAGGUGCUGCAUGGCUGUCGUCAGCUCGUGUCGUGAGAUGUUCGGUUAAGUCCGCUAACGAGCGCAACCCUCGCUGUGUGUUAUAUGUGUCACACGGGACUGCCGGUCUUAAGCCGGAGGAAGGUGGGGAUGAUGUCAAGUCAGCAUGGCCUUUAUAUCCUGGGCUACACACACGCUACAAUGGCCAACACAAUAGGUUGCUAAGCCGCGAGGUGGCGCCAAUCCAUAAAGUUGGUCUCAGUUCAGAUUGUAGGCUGCAACCCGCCUGCAUGAAGAUGGAGUUGCUAGUAACCGCAGGCCAGCUAUACUGCGGUGAAUACGUUCCCGGGGCUU
Molecule: ribosomal RNA, 451 nt
Filed under: uncultured Leptolinea sp.
Lineage: Bacteria; Bacillati; Chloroflexota; Anaerolineae; Anaerolineales; Anaerolineaceae
Description: bacterial SSU rRNA
Rfam family: Bacterial small subunit ribosomal RNA
Source: RNAcentral